Molecule: transfer RNA, 73 nt
Filed under: Ixodes scapularis (black-legged tick)
Lineage: Eukaryota; Metazoa; Arthropoda; Arachnida; Ixodida; Ixodidae
Rfam family: tRNA
About the family: Transfer RNA (tRNA) molecules are approximately 80 nucleotides in length. Their secondary structure includes four short double-helical elements and three loops (D, anti-codon, and T loops). Further hydrogen bonds mediate the characteristic L-shaped molecular structure. tRNAs have two regions of fundamental functional importance: the anti-codon, which is responsible for specific mRNA codon recognition, and the 3' end, to which the tRNAs corresponding amino acid is attached (by aminoacyl-tRNA synthetases). tRNAs cope with the degeneracy of the genetic code in two manners: having more than one tRNA (with a specific anti-codon) for a particular amino acid; and 'wobble' base-pairing, i.e. permitting non-standard base-pairing at the 3rd anti-codon position.
Source: Rfam by way of RNAcentral
UCCUGGUUUGCUCAAUUGGUAGAGCGCUCGAAUGAAAAUGGAGAGGUCCCUGGUUCUAUACCAGGAAGAGGCA